CCUACGGGAGGCAGCAGUGAGGAAUAUUGGUCAAUGGGCGAAAGCCUGAACCAGCCAUGCCGCGUGCAGGAAGACGGCUCUAUGGGUUGUAAACUGCUUUUGUACGAGAGUAAACACAGAUACGUGUAUCUGCUUGAAAGUACCGUACGAAUAAGGAUCGGCUAACUCCGUGCCAGCAGCCGCGGUAAUACGGAGGAUCCAAGCGUUAUCCGGAUUUAUUGGGUUUAAAGGGUGCGUAGGCGGUUUAGUAAGUCAGCGGUGAAAGUUUGGUGCUCAACCCCAACAGUGCAGUUGAUACUGAGGGGCUAGAGUGUAGUUGAGGUAGGCGGAAUGCAUGGUGUAGCGGUGAAAUGCGUAGAGAUCAUGAAGAACACCGAUUGCGAAGGCAGCCUACUAAACU
RNAcentral lists this ribosomal RNA (400 nucleotides) under uncultured bacterium. Its description in RNAcentral is "partial 16S ribosomal RNA". It matches the Rfam family "Bacterial small subunit ribosomal RNA", at positions 338 to 735 of the family's 1533-position model. The record is from RNAcentral.